CAAUAGCGUAUAUUAAAGUUGUUGCGGUAAAAAAGCUCGUAGUUGGAUUUCUACCGAAGAUAGCCGGUCGGGUCUUCGACCUUGUGUCUGGUUUUGUCUUUGGUAUCCUCAUAGGGAACGUUUCUGCGCUUUAUUGCGUGGUGCGGUAUCUAUGACUUUUACUUUGAGGAAAUUAGAGUGUUCACGGCAGGCAAACGCCUUGAAUAUAUUAGCAUGGAAUAAUAACAUAGGAUCUUCGUCCUAUUUUGUUGGUUUCUAGGGCUAAGAUAAUGAUUAAUAGGGAUAAUUGGGGGCAUCUGUAUCAACGCGUCAGAGGUGGAAUUCUUGGAUUGCGUUGCGACAAACUACUGCGAAAGCAUUUGCCAAGGAUGUUUUCAUUGA
RNAcentral lists this ribosomal RNA (381 nucleotides) under uncultured eukaryote. RNAcentral describes it as "partial 18S ribosomal RNA". It matches the Rfam family "Eukaryotic small subunit ribosomal RNA", at positions 592 to 976 of the family's 1831-position model. The record is from RNAcentral.